GACGAACGCUGGCGGCGCGCUUAACACAUGCAAGUCGAACGGAAAGGCCUGCUUUCCCUUGUGGAUUGCGGGUACUCGAGUGGCGAACGGGUGAGUAACACGUGAGUGAUCUGCCCCCAACUUGGGUAUAAGCCUGGGAAACUGGGUCUAAUUCCCGAUAGGACUGCAGGGUGGUGCCUGUGGUGGAAAACGAUUUUCUAGUGGUUGGGGAUGGGCUCGCGGCCUAUCAGCUUGUUGGUGGGGUAAUGGCCUACCAAGGCGGCGACGGGUAGCCGGCCUGAGAGGGUGGACGGCCACAUUGGGACUGAGAUACGGCCCAGACUCCUACGGGAGGCAGCAGUGGGGAAGAGUGCACAAUGGGCGGAAGCCUGAUGCAGCGACGCCGCGUGGGGGAUGACGGCCUUCGGGUUGUAAACUCCUUUCGACCGCGAGGAAGCCACCUGGUUGGAAGGGUGGUGACGGUAGUGGUAGAAGAAGCACCGGCUAACUACGUG
This 494-nucleotide ribosomal RNA is filed under the name uncultured bacterium. RNAcentral's name for it is "partial 16S ribosomal RNA". It matches the Rfam family "Bacterial small subunit ribosomal RNA", at positions 28 to 507 of the family's 1533-position model. The record is from RNAcentral.